UACGGAGGGAGCAAGCGUUAUCCGGAUUUACUGGGUGUAAAGGGCGCGUAGGCGGUAAGGCAAGUCUGAUGUGAAAAUUUGGGGCUCAACCCCAAAACUGCAUUGGAAACUGUUUAACUAGAGUGUCGGAGAGGCAAGUGGAAUUCCUAGUGUAGCGGUGAAAUGCGUAGAUAUUAGGAGGAACACCAGUGGCGAGGGCGGCUUGCUGGACGAUCACUGACGCUGAGGCUCGAAAGCGUGGGGAGCAAACAGG
This 253-nucleotide ribosomal RNA is filed under the name uncultured prokaryote. RNAcentral's name for it is "partial 16S ribosomal RNA". It matches the Rfam family "Bacterial small subunit ribosomal RNA", at positions 524 to 776 of the family's 1533-position model. The record is from RNAcentral.